This 497-nucleotide ribosomal RNA is filed under the name uncultured bacterium. RNAcentral's name for it is "partial 16S ribosomal RNA". It matches the Rfam family "Bacterial small subunit ribosomal RNA", at positions 28 to 507 of the family's 1533-position model. The record is from RNAcentral.
GAUGAACGCUGGCGGCGUGCCUAAUACAUGCAAGUCGAGCGAACAGACGAGGAGCUUGCUCCUCUGACGUUAGCGGCGGACGGGUGAGUAACACGUGGAUAACCUACCUAUAAGACUGGGAUAACUUCGGGAAACCGGGGCUAAUACCGGAUAAUAUAUUGAACCGCAUGGUUCAAUAGUGAAAGACGGUUUUGCUGUCACUUAUAGAUGGAUCCGCGCCGCAUUAGCUAGUUGGUAAGGUAACGGCUUACCAAGGCAACGAUGCGUAGCCGACCUGAGAGGGUGAUCGGCCACACUGGAACUGAGACACGGUCCAGACUCCUACGGGAGGCAGCAGUAGGGAAUCUUCCGCAAUGGGCGAAAGCCUGACGGAGCAACGCCGCGUGAGUGAUGAAGGUCUUCGGAUCGUAAAACUCCGUUAUUAGGGAAGAACAAAUGUGUAAGUAACUAUGCACGUCUUGACGGUACCUAAUCAGAAAGCCACGGCUAACUACGUG